This 3109-nucleotide long non-coding RNA is filed under the name Canis lupus familiaris (dog). RNAcentral's name for it is "lncRNA (ENSCAFG00000050286.1)". The record is from RNAcentral. Lineage: Eukaryota; Metazoa; Chordata; Mammalia; Carnivora; Canidae.
AGGAGAAACACGGUAUUGUGCUUAAGAUAUACAAUUCGAUUCAAAUAUGCCAGGCAAGAGAUACAACUGCACACCUCAAGUGAAAUUCAGAUACUCUUAAGACGUGUGUGUGCAUAUUCACAUAUCUAUAUGUAUAUACAUCUAAAUGAGAUUUGGAACUUGAAUUUAUAUAGUGAUUUUAGAGAAUUUUACUUAAAGGGUUUUUAUUUUCGUAUAUGCUUAAAGUGCUCCUAUUUCAAGACCGUUUUCUUUAUUAAAUCAGCCCCCUCGAGCAAAGUUGGAAACCUAAUGCAAGUGCCAUUUGCCCAAAUUAACCAGAUAUUUGUGUAAACUAUUUACUUUGUCUUUGGAUGCUUAUGAACCAUGACAUUCUGACUUUUCUUCCAUACCUUUAGGGAAUCAGCCUUAAUUUCCUGUAUGGCUAUCGCUUUCCUCAAAGUACUAUGCAGCAUACUUCAAAUGUUUAUCUUUAUAAAGUGAUUAGUAAUAAAUCUGAGGUGUUUUCAUGUCCUAGGGAUGAAUAAUUCCACACACUCAGAUACUGACUCACACAGCAUUCUAUUAAAAGUGCUCAUAUAGUACCCUCCCUCACCAGUGUCAUCUUGCAUUUGAAGCAGGUAUUUUUUCCUUAUCAGUUAAAGAAUGAGUGUAGACUGGGUACAGUCCUAGUAGGUGCUCAAUAAAUAUUUAGCUGAUUAUUGAUCUGACAUCAAACAGUUGUCUUUUCACAGAGGAGUCUAUUUUUAGAGUAAUAUAUGUUUGAAACUGAAAAAUUCUAUCAUUUGAAUGACGAGGCUCAUUUAGGCUGGAGUUUAGUAACAUGCAAUAACAAUACUAUUUGUGUAGAACAUUCUCUGAAGAUAGGAGAUGGGAAAAAUUUAAGCAGUAUCUUUUUGUGCAAGGCACAUUAAUAAAGUGAGUAAGUUAAUGUCUUAAUAGGCUGCUGGACUCGAGAGAGAACUGCUGUAGACUUCUGUGAUCAGUUUCUGUGUUGGUAAACCUAGUAUCACCUGUCUUAGGUUCUGUUCAGUUUUCCCCAACUCUCGGUUGCUUUCCAGUGUCUUAAAAGUAGUUGUGGUAAAAUGUGAAGUUAUAUUAAAUAACCUAUACUUGUUUUCUCAGAACAUCUUUAAUAUGAGAGAGAAAUUUUUAUGAAUGAUAACAGUAGUUUCAGAAUCUGUUAAUUUGUGGCUUUCAGAUCAUUUUUGACAGGGCUUGCCCAAUGUGAACAGAUUUAAAUAGUUUAAAAACAAACAUUCCAACCUGAGCUGUGAGGAACAGAGUGUCGAGUACUCGUGUAACUGGGCAUGGCCUCCUGGCGAGGUUCUUGAUCCCUGACUGUGAUACUGAUUUCUGACUGUGAAGACCACCGUCAGUAUUCUAGUUUGACGUGUGUUCUUCCUUGAAGACGAUGAAAUGAGUGCUAGAUUAACUUGUAUUUGAGAUGGACAGGAUAAAAAAUGAUGUGGUAUAAAUAUGCCAGAUAUUUAUACACACUACUACAAAAACUAAAAAAAGGAGGGAAGAAAAUGAUAAAAGGUCAGCGUUUUGGUUUGUUUUUUUUAUAGCCUCUAAAAAAAUUUCUUUUUAGAUCCAAGUCCCUCGGACACUAAGCAGUUGCUUACUUUAUUUAACACUGUGGGACUUUAAGGGUUAGUUUCUCAGAUACCAUCAAUAGUCUGCUAUUGGAAUUGACCAUGUGUGUGAACUUUACAUUGCUUGAAGAUUUUCCAGAAGUGGAGUAUUUAAGUAGCAGUUGUAGUUGUUUAAGAUUUCCCGUAGGUUGUGGUUAAAUGGACAAGUUACAUAUAUGAUCUGUGGUGCAAGGUCAGAUCCUGGGCAUUAAAGAUAAGUUUGGCUAACUUGUUUUACUGAAGAUACUAAUUGUCUUCCCUCUCCACUGCUGUUUUUCUUAAACUCGUUUCUUUCCGUGUAACAGUCUGCAUUGAAAGUUCUUUUAGCUCUCACAAUGUACUAAUUCACAUUUUUUAAGGAUUAAAUAUUUUAUGAAUUCUUUUUACAUUUAAAAUGUAUACCUUGGAGAGGGAUAAAAAUAAAUUUUGUGGUAAAGUCUGUGCAGAGGGUGCUAUGGUGUCCUGGGAGUGAGUUCUCCAGAGCGCUUAAAGUAUGAUGCUAAAUUUGAAGGCUAAUAUAAUGACUAUAGAUUAUUUGUAUUAGCACUGUCCAAUAGAAACAAAUGGGAGCCAUAUAGGUAAUUCUUAAUUUUCUAGCAGGCACAUUAAAAAAGAAACUGGUGACAUUAUUUUUAAUUAACUCAAUAUAUUAAAAAUAUCGUUUUAGUAUGUAAUCAAUAUACAUAAUUAUGGAGAUAUUUUGCCUUUUUUUUUUUUUUUUUUUUUUUGCCCUGAUGGUAGGUUUUUAAAAUUCAUUGUGUAUUUUGCACUCACAGUGCAUGUUAGUUCUGGUGAGCUAGAAGUGCUCAAAUAGCCACGUGGCUAAGGGCUGCUAUAUUGGACGGUGCAGGUUCAUAGGGUACAGAGUAGGACUUUAUUUUAAAUUGGGAGAUGGUGUGGUCAGGUAGGCAUGAAAUUAUGGUACUUUAAAAAUUACUUUGUAUACUUAGAAAAGUAUCUAAUAGAAUUAUCCACAUUGUCUUCAUUUUAAAUUUGCUGUAGAACUAGCUCAAUCUGUUCCAAUUUGCCAAGCAUUAUUAAGGAGGAAGAAAUUCCAUGCCAUGUAAAAUACCAUGAUAUGCUCAUUAUAACAACACAUUAUUAACACAUUUUUCAAUGUGUUCACUAAAUUCUGUCCUGUUUUUUCAAAGUAAUAGCUUAAAUUGCAUGUUAAUUGUAUAUCUGUACUUGUUUUGUUUUUAUAUUAUUAUUAUAAUAAUGUGUAUUAACAAACAGCCCUAGGAUUCUAAUAUUCCUGUGCAUCUGUCUUCCAGUACUUACUGGUACACUUAUUAAGUUGUUAUAAGUGGCAGAAAAGUAGAAUGAACCAUUGGUUUUUUCCAUUAGAUUGUUUUUAUCAUGUGAUCUGUACCAAGCCAGCUAUAAAUUAUUAUAUUUCUGUAGACUAUGGAAAAUAGUGUUUAUGUCUUAUCUUUACUAAAUGUUUGCAAUUUCUAAGUAAACUUUUCAUCUCC